RNAcentral lists this ribosomal RNA (521 nucleotides) under uncultured Chloroflexota bacterium. RNAcentral's name for it is "bacterial SSU rRNA". It matches the Rfam family "Bacterial small subunit ribosomal RNA", at positions 360 to 896 of the family's 1533-position model. Lineage: Bacteria; Bacillati; Chloroflexota. The record is from RNAcentral.
AAUAUUGCUCAAUGGGCGAAAGCCUGAAGCAGCAACGCCGCGUGCGCGAUGAAGGCCUUCGGGUCGUAAAGCGCUUUUGAGAGGGACGAGAUAGGACGGUACCUCUGGAAUAAGUCACGGCUAACUACGUGCCAGCAGCCGCGGUAAAACGUAGGUGGCAAGCGUUAUCCGGAUUCACUGGGCGUAAAGCGCGUGCAGGUGGCUUCGUAAGUUGGACGUUAUAUCUCCCGGCCUAACCGGGAGGAGUCGUUCAAUACUGCGGGGCUAGAGGGCAGAAGAGGGGGGUGGAAUUGCUGGUGUAGUGGUGAAAUGCGUAGAUAUCAGCAGGAACACCCGUGGCGAAAGCGGCCCCCUGGUCUGCUCCUGACACUCAGACGCGAAAGCUAGGGGAGUGAACGGGAUUAGAAACCCCGGUAAUCCUAGCCGUAAACGAUGGAUGCUAGGUGUGGGUGGUAUUGACCCCAUCCGUGCCGAAGCCAACGCGUUAAGCAUCCCGCCUGGGGACUACGACCGCAAGGUUA